RNA transcript from Prosopis cineraria, 2282 nucleotides. It is a transcript of the gene named GPCR-type G protein 1, with no coding region annotated. Lineage: Eukaryota; Viridiplantae; Streptophyta; Magnoliopsida; Fabales; Fabaceae. The record is from RefSeq and is a predicted model, not a curated record. The transcript is spliced from 14 exons.
CAUGCGCAAAGUAGCAACAAUUUUACUGGAUUGCCACUUUCUCGCAACUUGUUUAGUUUAGACUCAUUUCCAGUUCUUCCCGAGGUCCCGGGACAAUGAUUGCAUUAAUCCAAUGAAUGCAUGAAUUAUUCUUCUCAGAUACAUCCCAAAUCGAAAUCCCAGUGCUAAGUUUCAGAUCAUCGACUUUGAAACUCCAAUAGCCUACUCCUGUGACAGUUGUAGCUGAAUCCAAACCGCACAGGGGCGCAAAAAAUACCAUAGAUGGGUUGGGGAAGGGCAAUGUAUGAAGGAGGUGUGGUGCUGGGAUCUCUUUGUUUACUCGGUUGGGCUGGUCUUUGGUUCUUGAACCGUCGUCUCUACAAAGAGUACGAAGAGAAACGCGCGCUGGUGCAGAUCAUUUUCAGCGUAGUAUUCGCCUUCUCCUGCAAUCUCCUCCAACUCGUCCUCUUCGAGAUCAUUCCCAUCCUUUCCAAAGAGGCUAGAGUCGUGAACUGGAAGGUGGACUUAUUUUGUUUGAUCUUAUUACUGGUCUUCAUGCUGCCCUAUUAUCAUUGUUACUUGAUGCUCUGCAACAGUGGUGUAAGGAAGGAACGGGCAGCACUUGGAGCUAUAUUAUUCUUGCUGGCAUUUCUGUAUGCCUUUUGGCGUAUGGGAAUUCACUUUCCAAUGCCAUCACCUGAUAAGGGUUUCUUCACUAUGCCUCAACUGGUCAGUAGAAUUGGGGUGAUUGGUGUUACAGUUAUGGCUGUUCUAUCUGGUUUUGGUGCUGUGAACUUACCCUACAGUUAUUUAUCUCUUUUCAUCAGAGAGAUUGAGGAAGCAGAGAUUAAAGGCUUGGAGAGACAACUGAUGCAGUCAAUUGAGACUUGUAUUUCAAAGAAGAAAAAAAUUAUACUUUGUCAAAUGGAGAUGGAGAACAGCCAGGGACCUGAGGAGAAGUUAAAUGCCAGAUCUUUUGUUAAACGUAUAGUUGGCACCGUCAUUCGAUCUGUGCAGGAGGACCAAAAGGAGCAAGAUAUCAAAGGCAUGGAAGCAGAGGUACAAGCUUUGGAGGAGCUUUCAAAGCAAUUGUUCUUGGAGAUUUAUGAGCUUCGCCAAGCGAAGGAAGCUGCUGCUUAUUCUCGAACUUGGAGGGGGCACAUGCAGAAUCUACUUGGUUAUGUUUGUUCCAUCUAUUGUGUGUAUAAAAUGAUCAAGUCAUUGCAAAGUGUUGUUUUCAAACAGGAUGGUUCUGUUGAUCCUGUAACAAGGACAAUUAGUAUUUUCUUACAGUUCUUUGACAUUGGAAUCAAUGCUGCCUUAUUAUCACAGUACAUUUCCUUGCUGUUCAUUGGAAUGUUGAUUGUGAUAUCAGUGCGUGGAUUCUUAACAAAUCUAAUGAAGUUCUUUUUUGCUGUUUCCCGAGUUGGAAGUGGAUCUUCAAGCAAUGUAGUCCUAUUUCUGUCUGAGAUAAUGGGAAUGUAUUUUGUAUCAUCUAUUCUUUUAAUCAGGAAAAGCUUGGCAACUGAAUACAGGAAUGGGGGGCAAGCAAAGUGAGGUAUUGAACUACUGAGGCCAAUCAACCAAUCCUAUGGACCAAGUUUUGGUCCUAUUCAACUUUGGAUUAAGUCUAGACCAAGCUAGACUACAUGUUGCCUAAUCCAAUCUUUUCCAUGAAAGAGAUCAGACUUUAGGUUAAGCUGAAGUUCUGUCCUGCCUGUCCUUUAUGUAGCCCUACUCAUCAUUCAUCUUGUCAACUUGCAUGGGGAUAUCAUUGGGCCUACAUUGCAACAUACCAAUUUCCUUCAAGAGAUGGAUCUCUCUGUGAGAUGUAAAUUCCUUUCUUGGAUCAAGCAAUCUUCAUCUCGAGUAAGUAUUUCAUUUUCCCAAAAUCUUUUAUCUGGAAUGCUUUGGCCAUUGCAGUCUUGCUAUGUUCAGUUUCUUCUAGAUAAUCUCCUGUAAGGACAAUCAUCAACAUAAACUUGCCAAGACAAUAAUCUUACCAUCUUGAUGCUUAAAGAACAAAGUAUGAUCACUUUGUCCUUGAGUAUAUCCCUGCUUCUUCAAGACUUAGUUCUCAAACCAUUCCUGGGGGACUGUUUUAGUCCAUGCAGUGACUUCAUCAACUUGCACACUUGAUUUGGUUUCUUCCCAGGGAACCCUUGAGGAUUAUUAUAACAGAGGUAUUGGGUGGUGAUAUUCAAUUUGACUUCUAUCACCGGUGGUUUGAUGCAAUUUUUGUUGCUAGUGCAUUCCUUUCACUGCUUUUACUGUCUGCGCAUUAUACAUCCCGCCAAACUGAU